UUACGGCCAUAUCAUGUUGAAACACUAGUUCUCGUACGAUCACAAGUGAAGCAACGUCAAGCCUGGGCACUGCCUAGUUGGGUGACCGCUUGCGAAUACCAGGUGCUGUUU
Molecule: non-coding RNA, 111 nt
Organism: Acanthosepion pharaonis
Lineage: Eukaryota; Metazoa; Mollusca; Cephalopoda; Sepiida; Sepiidae
Source: the annotation of a GenBank genome assembly